ACGAUGCGGGGCGCCACCAGUGCGAGGAACCCGGUGCGAGUCCGGGACGGUCCCGCCACUGUGAGCGGAUCGCGCGCGAUCCGAGAGUCAGGAACUCCCUGGUGGUCGCCUGCCACG
Molecule: non-coding RNA, 117 nt
Filed under: Allokutzneria albata
Lineage: Bacteria; Bacillati; Actinomycetota; Actinomycetes; Pseudonocardiales; Pseudonocardiaceae
Source: RNAcentral